GCGGAAGUGGCGGAACUGGUAGACGCGCUACCUUGAGGUGGUAGUGAGGUAAUCAUUCCUCUUGGGGGUUCAAGUCCCCCUUUUCGCA
RNAcentral lists this transfer RNA (88 nucleotides) under Candidatus Aerophobota bacterium. Its description in RNAcentral is "Candidatus Aerophobetes bacterium tRNA-Leu". It matches the Rfam family "tRNA". From Rfam's summary of the family: Transfer RNA (tRNA) molecules are approximately 80 nucleotides in length. Their secondary structure includes four short double-helical elements and three loops (D, anti-codon, and T loops). The record is from RNAcentral. Lineage: Bacteria; Candidatus Aerophobota.